GGCAGCGACACUCAGGUGUUGUUGGGUAGGGGAGCGUUCUGUAAGCCUGCGAAGGUGGCCUGUGAGGGUUGCUGGAGGUAUCAGAAGUGCGAAUGCUGACAUAAGUAACGAUAAAGCGGGUGAAAAGCCCGCUCGCCGGAAGACCAAGGGUUCCUGUCCAACGUUAAUCGGGGCAGGGUGAGUCGACCCCUAAGGCGAGGCCGAAAGGCGUAGUCGAUGGGAAACGGGUUAAUAUUCCCGUACUUGGUGUUACUGCGAAGGGGGGACGGAGAAGGCUAUGUUGGCCGGGCGACGGUUGUCCCGGUUUAAGCGUGUAGGUGUGUGUUCCAGGUAAAUCCGGUU
RNAcentral lists this ribosomal RNA (342 nucleotides) under Salmonella enterica subsp. enterica serovar Agona. RNAcentral's name for it is "partial 23S ribosomal RNA". It matches the Rfam family "Bacterial large subunit ribosomal RNA", at positions 1204 to 1547 of the family's 2925-position model. Lineage: Bacteria; Pseudomonadati; Pseudomonadota; Gammaproteobacteria; Enterobacterales; Enterobacteriaceae. The record is from RNAcentral.